Molecule: long non-coding RNA, 204 nt
Filed under: Marmota monax (woodchuck)
Lineage: Eukaryota; Metazoa; Chordata; Mammalia; Rodentia; Sciuridae
Source: RNAcentral
CCUGCACAUGCCCCUCCCCACCUCCUCCACAUGCCUUGGCCCAGGGCAGGCCUGCCUGCAGGCAGGCUCCGUUGGUGAUGUGGAGCACAUCCUUUCCUUUGGCUCCUCCUGCACAUCCUCUCCCUGGUCCUGGAGUCAGGCUAGAUCAGGCAGGUGCCCUGCUGCGGGGCCUGUUCACUGCCGGCCUCCACCUUCCUGGCAGGA